RNAcentral lists this long non-coding RNA (3745 nucleotides) under Volvox carteri. RNAcentral's name for it is "long non-coding RNA (VCAR_LNC000441)". The record is from RNAcentral. Lineage: Eukaryota; Viridiplantae; Chlorophyta; Chlorophyceae; Chlamydomonadales; Volvocaceae.
GCCGAGCCCAGGGUCCUAAGUAAAGGCAGUACCCACGGGAUUACCAGCAGAACCGCGUCAUCUGAGAUUCGAACUCGGACCGGAACUGAUAUAUUUGUCUCGAUACCCAUUGUUACAUCGCGACAUAUCAUGGCGCAUACGCAUUCCAACUGGCACACAAAUCGAAGUGCCCAACAGGACCAUCUGGCUUAAAUAUGUUGCCUGAUUGGGACUACUAAGGUCGGAUGACCUGGAUCAAUAAUCGAAGCACUGCGUGUAUCAGCCUGGAUGCAAAACCGUAUUGCAUGCGACACUCGUGGAACGGACCUAGCUAGUCGUUGCUAUCACCGCCAUGCAUCCCUUCAUCAACAACAGCUCUUUAUCAACAGCAACUAGUGGUAUGCAUUUGCAUGCACGUCACUGCAACCGUAACAUCUGCAUGCUGCUGUUAUUACUGACAUCUCUAGAUUAGACGUAGAUCAUGAAUUUCGUACUGCUUGGACGUGAGAUGAGUGAGCAAUGCGGCAGUGUAAUGGCGACAGUCAUUGUGAAGAAGCCGAAGCUGUGUAUUCCAGCACCUGCACACAUUAGAACACACAUGGAUGGCAGAGCAGAAAAGAGUUCUGGUUGGAUGUGCACGGGGGCAGUGCACUGAUGGCCAUGUGCACCCCUGUGUGUGCAUGUGUGUAUGUGUAUAACACCAGACAAAGAGUACUCGCGGGAGAUGCCGAGGGAGCUGAACCCUUCUUGCAGUAUGUAUGUAUGUAAGUAUGUAUGGUGUGGCACAUCACAGAGGCGGCACAUGGCGGCAGCGGCCACCACAUACACCUCAUCACUUCAUAGAUAUCCAACGUGUGAUGUUGUAUGCGUACAACAUACACGCUUGCGUUUUUGGGGGGUGUAGUCCGAUGAUAACGAUGUGUACAUGUACAUGUAAUAAGCGUCCGGUUAUCAACACAGGGUGGUUACUUGGCUAACACAACGACCUGGCAUUAUUACAAGCGCAAGAGGGUGCCAACCUAGGGGCGGCUUCAGUGUAAUGUCGUACAGGUUGCUCGUCCACUUGGCAUUUCCUUAUCCCGUAGCUACUUGUAUGACUCAAAGUGGGGAAAGGCCUUGAAGGCCGGAAAGAAGAAGUAGCGUACACAGAACCACACAGCCGUACACACAUCUCCAGGUGCGAUUGAUCUGGAUCGAGGGUCACUUGCGGACAGAUAGACAUACCGGUUGAAUGCCUCAAUCGUGGCAAUAGCCUCUUCAUCACCCCAGGGUGUGGCCACCUUCACCAUCAGCCUGCAACACACACACACGCGGAUACAUGUGCGCACGUGAGGCACGCGUUCCUUGCAUUUUUAUUGGCAUGCAAUGUACCAUCAUCCAUGUAUGUAUGACCUAGGUUACACUGUGGGCCGCGAGGGCCGGGGGCCAAAGCCGAAACACAGCGCAGCACACAGCACAAGUCGGUUAGUCUUGUGUGCUCCCGACCCCGACUCAGACUGCCAACACUCUACGCGUAUGUAUGUAUGUAUGUAUGUAUGUAUGUAUGUAUGUAUGUAUGUAUGUAUGUAUGUAUGUAUGUAUGCAUGUAUGUAUGUAUGUAUGUAUGUAUGUAUGUAUGUAUGCAUGUAUGCAUGUAUGACGCUGAUUACACUGUGGGCUGAAAAGCCGGGGGCCCAGGGCCGAAACACAGCGCGGGGGCCGGAUGCACACGGCUGGUUAGCCUCAUGCACUCCGCCCCCGGGUCAGGCCGCACGGGGAACAACGGCCGGCACACAUCAGCGCUCGUUUGGCGCUCCAGCUAGACGGGAUCUAUGCCCGCUGGCUCCUAACAUAAACGAAAUCGCAACCGGGGGGCUCUUCCUGCCGACCGAACGAACCGAGCAUCUCAGAGAGCUCGCAACCAGGACCUGGAGCCCGACGAGUCAUCCCGGGCUGGGGAGGUCACCAAGCUCAAAAAUCCUCACGCAAAAAGAGCGCAAAGAGCUCACACCACAAGACGCCAAACAGCCUCCUGAGACAACUACCCUCCUCCGCCUCUCCCUCACUGGACUAGUCCAGGGGAGAUAGCACCCGUCGGGGGGAUAACACCGCACAAGCCCACACCCUUCCACAGCACUGGGUCUAGCUUGAAAAGUACUCAAACGGGAAAACCCUGCAGUGACGCCGGGCGAUCAAGCCCCCGAAAACCACAGGGGGGAAGGGUAGCCAGCUCGGCGUCCCCCCAUUACCGCUCUACCAAGACGGCCGGUUCCCAAGAUCCUAUCUCACCUAAACGCCACAACACCCGAAACCAGCAACAACGGGGCGACGGGUGCUUGUUGCUGCCCCGUCGCCCCGUUGUUGCUGGACUAUUGCUGCUCACAGGGGUGGCUGGGGCAUCAGGAAAGGUUCCCCUUCCGGGGGGGUCUUCCUGGUCGCUUGAAGGGUGCCCUUCUGGUGGCAUGCCUCUGAUGGCUCACCAUAUUCAAAAGACAGGUCUCACGGAAGGCCGCGAUUGCUGGUAAGCUCCGGCCUCCACAUGUCGGCCAUAGUCGUGGGGCCCAGGAGCAAGAAUUCCGUAACGUCCUGAGGACUGGGGUCUGCCCGGUAUGCCCGGGUGAGAAAGUCGGCUGUGCCCUGACAGCUGAGCCCGACCGGGACGCCUCUCACCUCCCACACAAUGGGCUUAGCCUGUUGCUGGUUCUUCACCAGCAGCUCCACUUCCAUCGGCUCCUUGUUCGAGGUCAAUUGCACCCCAGGCACGCGUAAUCGACCGUUGACGAUGCGCCUGGCCGCCGUCAACACUGCCAGACCUCCUUUGGGCACAAGGAUGGAGAGUUCCAUCACAAUGUGCCGUUCCCUUCCCAUCGGAUAAAGCAACCGUUUUUGAAUGUGCGGGCCUCCCCAACGGUUGAACUCCUGGUUGCUGCGGAAGAUUUGGCCAAUUGUCGCCAGAAUUUGAAGUCCUGAUGGACCGUAUAUUUGCGUGAUGAUGUCGCCCGUAUCUGAGCCUGCUGGCCACUGGACUGUCACCACGAUCGGUUCCAGUUCUAGUGUGGCUCUGUAGAUAUCUAAGCCUUCAUUUGUUCCAUAAAAGCCACUGAUGGCCUUUAUCUUUUGGUCGGUAUGGAUUGCGGUCUCGCGGCUGAGGUCGGACGGCGGCCAUUUUGAACAUUGCCGCGGCUAACAGCCACUGCUGGUCGCCUCUGCGACAUUUUCAGGCUAAUUAGGUAACCAUAACUACGCUCAAACAAUUGAGGUCGCUGUCGGUGGCCACGGCCGCGGUUGGCCGACGGUCAUAGUAGCAGCUUCGUCAAGCUUGGUCUCAUCCAUACAUGUGUAAUGUAUGUAUGUAUGUAUGUAUGUAUGUAUGUAUGUCUAUGUAUGUAUGUAUGUAUGUAUGUAUCUAGGUAUGACUUCGAUUACACUGUGGGCCGCGAGAGCGGGGGGCCGAAGCCGAAACACAGCGCAAGGGUCGGGAGCACACAGCACAAGUUGGUUAGUCUUGUGUGCUUCAGACCCCAGCAGUUUCAUUUCACAUACACACACACUCAUAUAUGCAUACCUUGUUCGAAUGGCGGGGCCCCGGAUCCCCCGGUGCAGUCGUCGAAUUCGGAGCUGCCCUGCGAAUAAUACAUGAAUAUGCACGUACAUUAUUUUAUGAUUAUUCUGAGGUACAUGGCUGCCAGCGUCACAUCUUCACUUAUUUCCUCUAUCUCGUCGCCCCCUCGGAGUUCCUCGUCUGUAAUAUCUCUAAUCGCCUAUAGACCAUCUAGAUAGCCUCAGA